RNAcentral lists this long non-coding RNA (716 nucleotides) under Sarcophilus harrisii (Tasmanian devil). Its description in RNAcentral is "lncRNA (ENSSHAG00000024028.1)". The record is from RNAcentral. Lineage: Eukaryota; Metazoa; Chordata; Mammalia; Dasyuromorphia; Dasyuridae.
AUGGAAUAUAAAAUUCCCAGGAACAAUGUAUUUUACAUGAAAGUGCAUUCCAUUUCAAUGUGCUAUCUGCUCAAGGUUUUGAUCAAGCAUUUUAUUGGAUUUAUGUACCAAAAGUGUAUCUGGCAAGAGACUGACCACGAGGGGGAGUAUUAUAGCUGCUCUGUGAGACUGCCUGAAGUACAACAUACUUUGAGGGAUAAUUAGCACAUUUCCAGCUCUCUGUUAACCACUCAGGACACCAGAACCAAACCUCUAUGGAAUUAUGGAAUUUUUGGACACUAGAACCUAUCAUACUGUAUUCAUAGUUCUGUCCUUCAUUUUAUGUAUUAAAAAGUGAGUGGAUCAAGUGCUUUAUCUGGAAUCAUCAAGACCUGAAUUCAAAUCCAGCUUUAGACACUGUAUGAUCUUGAGCAAGUUACUUAAACUGUUUACCUCAAUUUUUUCAUCUGUUAAAUGGAGUAUUAAUAGCACCAAUCUACCAGGAUGUUGUGAAUCUAAAAUGAAUUAAUAUUUGUAAAGUAUUUUUCAGAUUUUUAUAAAGCACUAUACAAAAACUAGUUAUUAUUUUACCACUAGAAUGGAAGCUUCUUUGAGGGCAAGGAUUGUACUUAUCUGUGUAUCUCUAAUGCUUAUCAGAGCGUCUGGGACCUAGGAAGCACCAAAUCAGUACUCUUUCCAUUCAGUCAUUUAUCCUUCUAUUUAUACAUCUCUUUAUC